GAUGAACGCUAGCUACAGGCUUAACACAUGCAAGUCGAGGGGCAGCAUGGAACGGAAGGCUUCGGCUGGAAGGUUCAUGUUCUAGCGGCGGACGGGUGAGUAACGCGUGAACAAUCUGUCCCAGACAGGGGGAUAACACUUGGAAACAGGUGCUAAUACCGCAUAAGACCACGAGAUCACAUGGUUUUGGGUAAAAGGAGCAAAUCCGGUCUGGGGUGAGUUCGCGUCCGAUUAGCUAGUUGGCGAGGUAACGGCCCACCAAGGCGACGAUCGGUAGCCGACCUGAGA
RNAcentral lists this ribosomal RNA (288 nucleotides) under uncultured bacterium. RNAcentral describes it as "partial 16S ribosomal RNA". It matches the Rfam family "Bacterial small subunit ribosomal RNA", at positions 28 to 297 of the family's 1533-position model. The record is from RNAcentral.